CUUGCACUGACUGACACGACGGCGCGCGUGUGAACAGCUUGAAUGUCCGCCUGCCCGCGACGGGCUGCACGCCGCGCAGCCCGCCAGGCAGCCCGCCGGGUUGCGCGGCGCGCGUGUGAGCGUAGCAUAAGAUUGGCCGAUUGCGAUAAAAACCAUAGAAAGAAGAAUAAUAACCAUAACCUCAAAGUCGAAGUUUUAGUUCAAAUGUCAUUUAGUUGUUCAAAUGUCAUUGUCAUUUACUUUGUUUGGAUUACACACAUCAUGCCGAAAAUCCCGAAUCUCCGUGCAUUUGGUAAACAUUGUCACAAUUGUGGAAAGUGGAUGGAGCGAAGGGCUCUUCGUAAAGAUGGUGUGUAGUAUUUUAGUAGUGACAUGCAAUUUUUGUAAUGGCAAAAUAUUUGCAAGAGAUGGCAAACAAAAGCAAAUGUGCAAUCGAUGUGUGGAAUGCGACAACAUUAUAAUCGGUCGAUAACGAAGAGUUGAAUGUUAGAUUUUAUGAAAAUAUUAUUUACAACUCAUUUCGAGAAGCUGCUCAAGCUCCUUUUUGACGAUCAAGAAUGGGAAAGAUGUUUGAAUGAAGCAAUUGAUUUUAAACUUCCUCGGCAAUUAUUUCGAGUUCGAAGAUUCGAUGAUGUAAAAAUUCAAAUUAUCAAUACCACUGAACAAGGCUUGAAAGGUGAUAAAUAUUUAUCGAAAAAUGUUAUAUAUAGAGAAAUUUUGUGAUAAUCAACCUCUGAUGUAUAAUAGAGAAUAUUUUUUUAUAAGUACCUUUGCCAAAUUCUCGGAUAAGUACUCAUUGUAAAAUUACAAUUUACAUACUUCCUAAUAUUAUUCUUGAUUUAGCCAAUUUGGAUAAAGAACCACAAUUUCAUAUUUUAUUUUUAAAAUUAGUAAGUACUUAUCUACCUGUCAAAGUAAAGAA
Molecule: long non-coding RNA, 922 nt
Organism: Helicoverpa zea (corn earworm)
Lineage: Eukaryota; Metazoa; Arthropoda; Insecta; Lepidoptera; Noctuidae
Exons: 4
Source: RefSeq, a predicted model, not a curated record